AAAAUGCUCUCUGCUCAGUGCCCAGUUUACUGGCUGUCAUCAAGAGAGAAGCAGCAGCUCGAAGAACCACUCCAUUAGCUCUACCCUAUUCGCCGCCACAGUCGUCACCGCUCACUGAUCAUGUUGACCUCUUGAAAUCAAUUACUGAUUAUAAUAACUUUUGCAUUUGUUAAUUAAGGUUAGAAUUUAUAGUUGCAUUUUUACGUAUACUUCUGAUUAAUACGAUUGAAGGUGUGGUGAUGGAUUCCCAGCUUCUAUGCUUUAACCGGACCCCAACUCCUUCAUUAAGCCAUACUCACCUCUUCAAUUUCGAUUGGUUGGUGUUCCACUGCACAAAUACCGACCUUCAAAUCUUCAUUUUCCUGUAGGAUGCUUGAUGUGAAGGAAAGUGUCUUGACAGGAUGCUUGAUGUGAAGGAAAGUGUCUUGAC
This 430-nucleotide unclassified non-coding RNA is filed under the name Hevea brasiliensis (rubber tree). The record is from RNAcentral. Lineage: Eukaryota; Viridiplantae; Streptophyta; Magnoliopsida; Malpighiales; Euphorbiaceae.